CCUACGGGCGGCAGCAGUGAGGAAUAUUGGUCAAUGGACGAGAGUCUGAACCAGCCAAGUAGCGUGAAGGAUGACUGCCCUAUGGGUUGUAAACUUCUUUUAUAUGGGAAUAAAAUGUUCCACGUGUGGGACUUUGUAUGUACCAUAUGAAUAAGGAUCGGCUAACUCCGUUCCAGCAGACGCGGUAAUACGGAGGGUCCGAGCGUUAUCCGGAUUUAUUGGGUUUAAAGGGAGCGUAGGUGGAUUGUUAAGUCAGUUGUGAAAGUUUGCGGCUCAACCGUAAAAUUGCAGUUGAAACUGGCAGUCUUGAGUACAGUAGAGGUGGGCGGAAUUCGUGGUGUAGGGGUGAAAUGCUUAGAUAUCACGAAGAACUCCGAUUGCGAAGGCAGCUCACUGGACUGCAACUGACACUGAGGCUCGAAAGUGUGGGUAUCAAACAGGAUUAGAUACCCGAGUAGUC
This 460-nucleotide ribosomal RNA is filed under the name uncultured bacterium. RNAcentral's name for it is "partial 16S ribosomal RNA". It matches the Rfam family "Bacterial small subunit ribosomal RNA", at positions 338 to 795 of the family's 1533-position model. The record is from RNAcentral.